ACGGGUGCGUAACGCGUAUGCAACUUGCCUUACAGAGGGGGAUAACCCGUUGAAAGACGGACUAAAACCGCAUACACUUGUAUUAUUGCAUGAUAUUACAAGGAAAUAUUUAUAGCUGUAAGAUAGGCAUGCGUCCCAUUAGCUGGUUGGUGAGGUAACGGCUCACCAAGGCGACGAUGGGUAGGGGAACUGAGAGGUUUAUCCCCCACACUGGUACUGAGACACGGACCAGACUCCUACGGGAGGCAGCAGUGAGGAAUAUUGGUCAAUGGGCGAGAGCCUGAACCAGCCAAGUCGCGUGAAGGAAGACAGUCCUAAGGAUUGUAAACUUCUUUUAUACGGGAAUAACGGGCGAUACGAGUAUUGCAUUGAAUGUACCGUAAGAAUAAGCAUCGGCUAACUCCGUGCCAGCAGCCGCGGUAAUACGGAGGAUGCGAGCGUUAUCCGGAUUUAUUGGGUUUAAAGGGUGCGUAGGUUGUUCGGUAAGUCAGCGGUGAAACCUGAGCGCUCAACGUUCAGCCUGCCGUUGAAACUGCCGGGCUUGAGUUCAGUGGCGGCAGGCGGAAUUCGUGGUGUAGCGGUGAAAUGCAUAGAUAUCACGAGGAACUCCGAUUGCGAAGGCAGCUUGCCAUACUGCGACUGACACUGAAGCACGAAGGCGUGGGUAUCAAACAGGAUUAGAUACCCUGGUAGUCCA
This 697-nucleotide ribosomal RNA is filed under the name uncultured bacterium. Its description in RNAcentral is "bacterial SSU rRNA". It matches the Rfam family "Bacterial small subunit ribosomal RNA", at positions 102 to 797 of the family's 1533-position model. The record is from RNAcentral.